GAUGAACGCUGGCGGCGUGCCUAAUACAUGCAAGUCGAGCGAACAGACGAGGAGCUUGCUCCUUUGACGUUAGCGGCGGACGGGUGAGUAACACGUAGGUAACCUACCUAUAAGACUGGGAUAACUUCGGGAAACCGGAGCUAAUACCGGAUAAUAUUUCGAACCGCAUGGUUCGAUAGUGAAAGAUGGCUUUGCUAUCACUUAUAGAUGGACCUGCGCCGUAUUAGCUAGUUGGUAAGGUAACGGCUUACCAAGGCAACGAUACGUAGCCGACCUGAGAGGGUGAUCGGCCACACUGGAACUGAGACACGGUCCAGACUCCUACGGGAGGCAGCAGUAGGGAAUCUUCCGCAAUGGGCGAAAGCCUGACGGAGCAACGCCGCGUGAGUGAUGAAGGUCUUCGGAUCGUAAAACUCUGUUAUUAGGGAAGAACAAACGUGUAAGUAACUGUGCACGUCUUGACGGUACCUAAUCAGAAAGCCACGGCUAUCUACGUG
This 497-nucleotide ribosomal RNA is filed under the name uncultured bacterium. Its description in RNAcentral is "partial 16S ribosomal RNA". It matches the Rfam family "Bacterial small subunit ribosomal RNA", at positions 28 to 507 of the family's 1533-position model. The record is from RNAcentral.